UACAUAGUGAUACCCUGUUUCAAAAACUAA
RNAcentral lists this non-coding RNA (30 nucleotides) under Mus musculus (house mouse). Lineage: Eukaryota; Metazoa; Chordata; Mammalia; Rodentia; Muridae. The record is from RNAcentral.